RNAcentral lists this ribosomal RNA (253 nucleotides) under uncultured bacterium. RNAcentral describes it as "partial 16S ribosomal RNA". It matches the Rfam family "Bacterial small subunit ribosomal RNA", at positions 524 to 776 of the family's 1533-position model. The record is from RNAcentral.
GACGGAAGGUGCAAGCGUUGCUCGGAAUCACUGGGCGUAAAGGGUGCGUAGGCGGCCGUGCAAGUCUGGCGUGAAAGCCCCGGGCUCAGCCCGGGAAGUGCGCUCGAAACUGCGCGGCUCGAGUGCCGGAGGGGAGAGUGGAAUUCCUGGUGUAGCGGUGAAAUGCGUAGAUAUCAGGAGGAAUACCAGUGGCGAAGGCGGCUCACUGGCCCGGUACUGACGCUGAGGUGCGAAAGCGUGGGGAGCAAACAGG